This 301-nucleotide ribosomal RNA is filed under the name uncultured bacterium. Its description in RNAcentral is "partial 16S ribosomal RNA". It matches the Rfam family "Bacterial small subunit ribosomal RNA", at positions 509 to 809 of the family's 1533-position model. The record is from RNAcentral.
CAGUCGCCACGGGAAUACGUAGGUGGCGAGCGUUGUCCGGAAUUAUUGGGCGUAAAGGGAGCGCAGGCGGACAUAUAAGUCCAUCUUAAAAGUGCGGGGCUCAACCCCGUGAGGGGAUGGAAACUGUAUGCCUUGAGUGCAGGAGAGGAAAGCGGAAUUCCCAGUGUAGCGGUGAAAUGCGUAGAUACUGGGAGGAACACCAGUGGCGAAGGCGGCUUUCUGGACUGCAACUGACGCUGAGGCUCGAAAGCCAGGGGAGCGAUCGGGAUUAGAUACCCCUGUAGUCCCUGUCUCUUAUACA